Molecule: non-coding RNA, 75 nt
Organism: Podarcis lilfordi (Lilford's wall lizard)
Lineage: Eukaryota; Metazoa; Chordata; Lepidosauria; Squamata; Lacertidae
Source: the annotation of a GenBank genome assembly
AGGGCCAUAGCUCAGCGGCAGAUAAUCUGCUUUGCAUUCAGAUUCAAGUCCCAGGUUCAAUCCCCGGUGUCCCCA